Molecule: non-coding RNA, 70 nt
Organism: Parelaphostrongylus tenuis
Lineage: Eukaryota; Metazoa; Nematoda; Chromadorea; Rhabditida; Metastrongylidae
Source: the annotation of a GenBank genome assembly
ACCUCUGUGGUGUAAUGGUAACACACGUCCCCUUAAGGAUGAAACGCGGGUUUGACUCCCGUCUGAGGUU